RNAcentral lists this non-coding RNA (24 nucleotides) under Arabidopsis thaliana (thale cress). The record is from RNAcentral. Lineage: Eukaryota; Viridiplantae; Streptophyta; Magnoliopsida; Brassicales; Brassicaceae.
GACUGACACUCCCUCGAGUUGGCC